RNAcentral lists this ribosomal RNA (208 nucleotides) under uncultured bacterium. Its description in RNAcentral is "partial 16S ribosomal RNA". It matches the Rfam family "Bacterial small subunit ribosomal RNA", at positions 568 to 774 of the family's 1533-position model. The record is from RNAcentral.
CGCGUAGGCGGUUUUGUUAAGUCGGAUGUGAAAGCCCCGGGCUCAACCUGGGAAUUGCACCCGAUACUGGCCGACUGGAGUGCGAGAGAGGGAGGUAGAAUUCCACGUGUAGCGGUGAAAUGCGUAGAUAUGUGGAGGAAUACCGGUGGCGAAGGCGGCCUCCUGGCUCGACACUGACGCUGAGGUGCGAAAGCGUGGGGAGCAAACA